ACGGAGGGUCCAAGCGUUAUCCGGAAUCAUUGGGUUUAAAGGGUCCGCAGGCGGUCAAUUAAGUCAGAGGUGAAAUCCCGUCGCUCAACGACGGAACUGCCUUUGAUACUGGUUGACUUGAGUCAUAUGGAAGUAGAUAGAAUGUGUAGUGUAGCGGUGAAAUGCAUAGAGAUUACACAGAAUACCGAUUGCGAAGGCAGUCUACUACGUAUGUACUGACGCUGAGGGACGAAAGCGUGGGGAGCGAACAGG
Molecule: ribosomal RNA, 252 nt
Filed under: uncultured bacterium
Lineage: Bacteria
Description: partial 16S ribosomal RNA
Rfam family: Bacterial small subunit ribosomal RNA
Source: RNAcentral